AAGUAAUAUUAAAUUAAUUAAUACAACGUAUAUAUAUUCGAUAAAAGGAGCGAGAAGGAAAGAGGCAUUAGGAAAGAGAAGGGAAUAAUAAGAGAGAGAGAAAACCCGCCCGUUUCCCCACUCUUUCUCCUAAUCCCACCGCGGCAGCUCGUUACCCCCACCAAUGUUCUCGCAGCACGAGCAACUCGCGAUGUAUCGCGAGGGGCAGAGCCGAGGUCGGCCGAAGAGGGCCGAGCACGGCCGAACGGUUGUUCGAAUCGCGGCUCCCGCGUCAGUGCUGCAACCGCGUCCGCGGUCCACGGUUCACGAUUUCCGGGCCUUGCCGGUUCUGUUUUUUCCCCGCUCGUCACAACGAAACAAAAAAAGAAAAGAAGAGAAGCAAGGACGAUAUCCGUUUUCCAGGAGGAGACGCGUGCUACCCGUGCAGCGAGAGAAAGUGAUCGAUCGACAGCAUUCGCGGGAGGAAGUUGUGGAGAAAAAUUACGGUCGCUUUUCCGGUGGCAGCGUUUUCCCGCCACUUUUCGUUGCCGGUAAAAUGGCCGCGGUUACGAUACCAUCCUUUCCACGGAAUUCGGAGUUGGAAUUUCUCGUGCAGUGAGCCAGAACGAACGAGCAGAGGACUCUCAGCUGCAAGGAAAGACAACGAGAACAGGUGAACGGCUUCGAGCUACUGUUUAUCAUGAGACACAUCGAUCUUGCUGCAUCGUGGACCGUUGUUCGGGAGAUGGUUGUCGUUUCGAUGGCGAGCCGGUAGGCUUGUUCGAGAAUUUCACGAGUCAUUUCUGCGUUUCCUGGAUCUCGAGGAACGCGAUCAUGGAACUGGUAUUGGGAGUGCCGUGCGAGCAGCUGAUCUGUAAAUGCGAGUGACAGUCGAUGGUGAUGCGGUGAGAAAGAGUGCAAUGACAGUGGGAAACGAAGUCCAACUGUCGGCAGAGCUGAUUACAGGGACGUCCUGAAGGGAGCUCGGACGAAUGGGAGAGAGUAAUAAAAUAAUACGAUAAAGAGUGCAGUUUUGAAGUGCAAUAUCACGAGUAACCAGUGUGCAAUAAUAAACGUUCGACCGAGACUUUUCGCGAGGAAAAGUGCGUGUCGAUCGUGUGCCUAUGUGUAUGUGUGUGUGUGCGAGACACCGAGAGGGACAGAAAGACACGGACCGUAGAUAAGAUAGACGAAGAAGGAAGAUAAUAUAGAAUAAUCUAGUCAAAAGAUCGAACAAGGAACGAUAUUAUUUUUAACAGAAACGUUUUUCAUCGGUUUGGACUCGAUCGAAGGCUACGAGCCGAAUCACGACGCUGGAAGGAAAGAGAUAGACGGACAGCGAAAACAUCAGCUCAGUGUGGUACGUACACCCUUGACGCCGUUUGUAACCGACACGUUAUGUUUACAUCGUGCACGAAGUUAUCCAUAGUUCGAGUUCGGUCGUUCGCGACGUAACACGUACGCCAUAUUUCGUGCGUUCGAUUACUGUUACUUUCGAUCAUCAUUACGUUUUUCGGAACACAUGUAACGUAAAUAUUCCGUUCCCUCGAAUAUAGUGCGUUUUUCAAUUUUGAAAAUUCACGGUGCAAAAUGCGUGGGAAUGGGACAAAACUUUUUAUCGAAAUACAGUAGCGAAUUAUUCGAAAAGUGUAUUGGUCGUUAUUAUUUCUCACUUCAAAGAGAAGAAGAGGAGGAGGAGGAGGAGGAAAAAGAGGAAGAAGAAGAGGAGGAGGAGAUAAUAAGAAACUCGACGUUUUUCGAGCAUUGUACGUGGAUCGUGUUCAAUUUAGAAGAAAAUUUGGAAGGGAAAUUCGUACCGGCAGUGCGAUCAAGUGUUCGCAGUGACGUAAUAAGGAACCGUGGCGCCUCGGGACUAUUCUACGGUGCCGAACGUAUUUCUCGUUGCCGAGAAUCGAGUGUUUGGACGCGGGAAACCGAUUAAGUGACUGUAUUAGGUGUUCUUAGUGAAAUAUGUAUCCGUGGUAUCGGGACAGCGUCGCAGCAGCGGCGGCAGCCGGCCUCGGAGGCCCCGUCGGAGUCGUCGGUUCCGGGUUCUGCUCCACCGGUCCAGGACAAGGCGGCACCACGAUCAAGACCGAGAGCGGAUAUUCGGAUUGUAUGCUGGCCCUGGACUACGUGCAGAGUAAGAAAGCUUCUUUCGCGCA
Molecule: long non-coding RNA, 2144 nt
Filed under: Apis florea (little honeybee)
Lineage: Eukaryota; Metazoa; Arthropoda; Insecta; Hymenoptera; Apidae
Description: uncharacterized LOC116414502
Source: RNAcentral